RNAcentral lists this ribosomal RNA (428 nucleotides) under uncultured prokaryote. Its description in RNAcentral is "bacterial SSU rRNA". It matches the Rfam family "Bacterial small subunit ribosomal RNA", at positions 355 to 774 of the family's 1533-position model. The record is from RNAcentral.
UUAGGAAUUUUGCGCAAUGGGAGCAAUCCUGACGCAGCAACGCCGCGUGGGUGAUGAAGGCCUUCGGGUCGUAAAGCCCUGUCAGGUGGGAAGAAUGUCCCGGGACUGAACAGGUUCCGGGAGUGACGGUACCACCAGAGGAAGCACCGGCUAACUCCGUGCCAGCAGCCGCGGUAAUACGGAAGGUACAAGCGUUAUUCGGAAUUACUGGGCGUAAAGCGCGUGUAGGCGGUCCUGCAAGUCUGAUGUGAAAGCCCCGGGCUUAACCCGGGAAGUGCAUUGGAAACUGUGGGACUUGAGUACUGGAGUGGAUGGGGGAAUUCCCGGUGUAGAGGUGAAAUUCGUAGAGAUCGGGAGGAAUAUCAGUGGCGAAGGCGCCCAUCUGGACGGUAACUGACGCUGAGACGCGAAAGCGUGGGGAGCAAACA